AAGUCGUAACAAGGUCUCCGUAGGUGAACCUGCGGAGGGAUCAUUACAAGUGACCCCCGGCUCCGGCCGGGGAUGUUCAUAACCCUUUGUUGUCCGACUCUGUUGCCUCCGGGGCGACCCUGCCUUUUCACGGGCGGGGGCCCCGGGUGGACACAUCAAAACUCUUGCGUAACUUUGCAGUCUGAGUAAAUUUAAUUAAUAAAUUAAAACUUUCAACAACGGAUCUCUUGGUUCUGGCAUCGAUGAAGAACGCAGCGAAAUGCGAUAAGUAAUGUGAAUUGCAGAAUUCAGUGAAUCAUCGAAUCUUUGAACGCACAUUGCGCCCGCCAGCAUUCUGGCGGGCAUGCCUGUUCGAGCGUCAUUUCAACCAUCGAGCCCCCGGGCUUGUGUUGGGGACCUGCGGCUGCCCGCAGGCCCUGAAAACCAGUGGCGGGCUCGCUGUCACUCCGAGCGUAGUAGUAUCACCUCGCUCAGGGCGUGCUGCGGGUUCCGGCCGUUAAACGACCCAUUUACCCCAAGGUUGACCUCGGAUCAGGUAGGAAUACCCGCUGAACUUAA
This 558-nucleotide ribosomal RNA is filed under the name uncultured fungus. RNAcentral's name for it is "eukaryotic LSU rRNA". The stretch from base 208 to 361 matches the Rfam family "5.8S ribosomal RNA". The record is from RNAcentral. Lineage: Eukaryota; Fungi.